RNAcentral lists this non-coding RNA (148 nucleotides) under Lepisosteus oculatus (spotted gar). Its description in RNAcentral is "Eukaryotic large subunit ribosomal RNA". It matches the Rfam family "Eukaryotic large subunit ribosomal RNA", at positions 3010 to 3158 of the family's 3401-position model. Lineage: Eukaryota; Metazoa; Chordata; Actinopteri; Semionotiformes; Lepisosteidae. The record is from Rfam by way of RNAcentral.
GUUGCAACAGUGAUCCUGCUCAGAACGAGAGGAACCGCAGGUCCGGAUAUUCGGUGUCGGUGCUUGGCUGAGGAGCCAGUGGUGCAAAGUUCCCAUCUGGGGGGUUGUGACUGAACGCCUCAAAGCAACGCGAGAUCUCCAAAGCAGC